CGUGUGCUUACAAGUAGUCAGAGCCCGUUAAUGGGUGAUGGCGUGCCUUUUGUAGAAUGAACCGGCGAGUUACGAUUUGAUGCAAGGUUAAGCAGUAAAUGUGGAGCCGUAGCGAAAGCGAGUCUGAAUAGGGCGUUUAGUAUUUGGUCGUAGACCCGAAACCAGGUGAUCUACCCUUGGUCAGGUUGAAGUUCAGGUAACACUGAAUGGAGGACCGAACCGACUUACGUUGAAAAGUGAGCGGAUGAACUGAGGGUAGCGGAGAAAUUCCAAUCGAACCUGGAGAUAGCUGGUUCUCUCCGAAAUAGCUUUAGGGCUAGCCUCAAGUGAUGAUUAUUGGAGGUAGAGCACUGUUUGGACGAGGGGCCCCUCUCGGGUUACCGAAUUCAGACAAACUCCGAAUGCCAAUUAAUUUAACUUGGGAGUCAGAACAUGGGUGAUAAGGUCCGUGUUCGAAAGGGAAACAGCCCAGACCACCAGCUAAGGUCCCAAAAUAUAUGUUAAGUGGAAAAGGAUGUGGCGUUGCCCAGACAACUAGGAUGUUGGCUUAGAAGCAGCCAUCAUUUAAAGAGUGCGUAAUAGCUCACUAGUCGAGUGACACUGCGCCGAAAAUGUACCGGGGCUAAACAUAUUACCGAAGCUGUGGAUUGUCCUUUGGACAAUGGUAGGAGAGCGUUCUAAGGGCGUUGAAGCAUGAUCGUAAGGACAUGUGGAGCGCUUAGAAGUGAGAAUGCCGGUGUGAGUAGCGAAAGACGGGUGAGAAUCCCGUCCACCGAUUGACUAAGGUUUCCAGAGGAAGGCUCGUCCGCUCUGGGUUAGUCGGGUCCUAAGCUGAGGCCGACAGGCGUAGGCGAUGGAUAACAGGUUGAUAUUCCUGUACCACCUAUAAUCGUUUUAAUCGAUGGGGGGACGCAGUAGGAUAGGCGAAGCGUGCGAUUGGAUUGCA
RNAcentral lists this ribosomal RNA (946 nucleotides) under Staphylococcus aureus. RNAcentral describes it as "partial 23S ribosomal RNA". It matches the Rfam family "Bacterial large subunit ribosomal RNA", at positions 557 to 1508 of the family's 2925-position model. The record is from RNAcentral. Lineage: Bacteria; Bacillati; Bacillota; Bacilli; Caryophanales; Staphylococcaceae.